Long non-coding RNA from Triticum aestivum (bread wheat), 994 nucleotides. RefSeq lists it as uncharacterized. Lineage: Eukaryota; Viridiplantae; Streptophyta; Magnoliopsida; Poales; Poaceae. The transcript is spliced from 3 exons. The record is from RefSeq and is a predicted model, not a curated record.
GCUUUGAGAUCGGGAAUCUGUCAGCUUUUUGGCAGGCUCGUGUCGGCUCGUGUCAGCCUAUGCAUCUAUAUACGGUCUGGGAUACAGCCCGUGCGUACAUGUUUGGCCCAUCAGCCUGCUCAUGUCCUCUCUGCUCAACCUGUGAUGCUCUUUCUCUGUCGUUCUCGUUCCUGUUCCGUCGCCCAGCCAUCCCCCUUCCUCUCUCUUUCUCAUCUGUGCGUAGUUCCCGCGGUGGUGGUCGUCGGUGACCACGCUCCCCUUCAGCCGUGGCCAGGAGACCGGGUGCAGCCCCACCCUCCCUCGGCUCCUGCGACCGAAGCGCCGGCCCGAGCGCUCGCCCUCUUCCACUCCGACAGCCAAAUCACCCGGAUCCCGCGUCCUCUUCCACUCCGGCGACCGGAUCCCCUCGAGUUUGCGGAACACCGGAUCUGUCCAGGGCGAGGUCCUUGUCCACGGAUCCGGCCGGGAGAAAUCAUUUUCUUCAUUGUUUCCGUCGGCGAGGCUGGAUCACACCUCAUAUUUGUCUUAGGUUCAGUUCAACUAAGAAUGCAAGAUGACAAAAUGCGACAAAUGGUUGAAAAAAUGUGCAGUUCUGCCCCCAGAGAAAAAGAUGCCAUCCAACAAUAUGCAUAGUUGGGUUCCUUGGAAACAUCACCCUUGAACUUUAUGACAGCUUGGAACAGAUGCUUCCACACAUAACCUCCCUAGUUCGAUUCUUUCAUUUUGCCUAUGUUGUUUUAGUGCUUCCAAGAAUAUGUGUACUGUAGUCAUGCCUGGCAGUGGGAGCAAGCACGUGGCCCAUCACAAAAAUUGCAAAAAUGCAAUAUCUUUAAGCAAAUAUGCAUCUGGUGCCUUCAGAUUGUGUGUUUCUUUAUCACUGAGACAAAUAAGCAUCUUGAUCGAUCUUGAUAUAACUAGUUUCCUCAUCAGGUUCUAUUGAUUGCUCCUACGAAUGCAAAUGAUUAGGCAUAACAGAGUAUGUUGGAAAUUUGUC